ACGCUCGACACCUACGGAGGCAGCAGUGGGGAAUAUUGCACAAUGGAGGAAACUCUGAUGCAGCGACGCCGCGUGAGGGAAGAAGGUCUUCGGAUUGUAAACCUCUGUUGUCAGGGACGAUGAUGACGGUACCUGACGAGGAAGCCACGGCUAACUACGUGCCAGCAGCCGCGGUAAUCUGAGCGGGCUGGCAAGGC
Molecule: ribosomal RNA, 197 nt
Filed under: uncultured bacterium
Lineage: Bacteria
Description: partial 16S ribosomal RNA
Rfam family: Bacterial small subunit ribosomal RNA
Source: RNAcentral